UGCUCUAAUUGUUGCAAAAUAUUGCAAUUGGAUCUAGUGUAAAUCCAUGGAUCUUGGUUGAUAGGAUACCCAGCCAAAUAACUUCUCGUAUUCCUUCUGAAAGUGCUUUUGCUUUGGGAUCCAUAGACAAGAUGGCCACUAUUUGCUGCUUCAUUGAUGACCAUGAUAUAGGACCUCCUGCCAAUUUGAAAAUCCAACUUGUUACAGAUUUUCUAUCUAGUCGACAAUUUCUCCAAUCCAAAUUAGUGUAAUCUACAACUGUCGGACUUGUGUGUUUUUCAUAGAAUAUGUCGAAGUCAAGAGCUCCUUUGAUAUAUCUAAGGACAUGGUUAGCCGCUUUUAGAUGCAGAGUUUUGGGAUUGUAUAUAAAUCGGCUUAGUACCCCAAUCAUAAACAAAAGUUUGAAUUUAGUAUUUACUAAGUAUAUUAGUAUCCCGAUCAGUCGCUAAAAUUGCUUCGGAUCGACUCCCGGGGAGUCGUCUUCUGUUCCCAAUUUUAAUCCCUCUGCCAUGAGCAUUGAAGCAAGUUUGCAAUCCAUCAUAUCAAAUUCAUAGAGGAUCUGUAGUAAAUAUGCUUUUUGUGUCAAG
This 587-nucleotide long non-coding RNA is filed under the name Physcomitrium patens. RNAcentral's name for it is "long non-coding RNA (PPAT_LNC004249)". The record is from RNAcentral. Lineage: Eukaryota; Viridiplantae; Streptophyta; Bryopsida; Funariales; Funariaceae.